GGGUUGUGAGGUUAAGCGACUAAGCGUACACGGUGGAUGCCCUGGCAGUCAGAGGCGAUGAAGGACGUGCUAAUCUGCGAUAAGCGUCGGUAAGGUGAUAUGAACCGUUAUAACCGGCGAUUUCCGAAUGGGGAAACCCAGUGUGAUUCGUCACACUAUCAUUAACUGAAUCCAUAGGUUAAUGAGGCGAACCGGGGGAACUGAAACAUCUAAGUACCCCGAGGAAAAGAAAUCAACUGAGAUUCCCCCAGUAGCGGCGAGCGAACGGGGAGGAGCCCAGAGCCUGAAUCAGUGUGUGUGUUAGUGGAAGCGUCUGGAAAGGCGCGCGAUACAGGGUGACAGCCCCGUACACAAAAAUGCACAUGCUGUGAGCUCGAUGAGUAGGGCGGGACACGUGGUAUCCUGUCUGAAUAUGGGGGGACCAUCCUCCAAGGCUAAAUACUCCUGACUGACCGAUAGUGAACCAGUACCGUGAGGGAAAGGCGAAAAGAACCCCGGCGAGGGGAGUGAAAAAGAACCUGAAACCGUGUACGUACAAGCAGUGGGAGCACAGAGCAGUCUGUGUGACUGCGUACCUUUUGUAUAAUGGGUCAGCGACUUAUAUUCUGUAGCAAGGUUAACCGAAUAGGGGAGCCGAAGGGAAACCGAGUCUUAACUGGGCGUUAAGUUGCAGGGUAUAGACCCGAAACCCGGUGAUCUAGCCAUGGGCAGGUUGAAGGUUGGGUAACACUAACUGGAGGACCGAACCGACUAAUGUUGAAAAAUUAGCGGAUGACUUGUGGCUGGGGGUGAAAGGCCAAUCAAACCGGGAGAUAGCUGGUUCUCCCCGAAAGCUAUUUAGGUAGCGCCUCGUGAAUUCAUCUCCGGGGGUAGAGCACUGUUUCGGCAAGGGGGUCAUCCCGACUUACCAACCCGAUGCAAACUGCGAAUACCGGAGAAUGUUAUCACGGGAGACACACGGCGGGUGCUAACGUCCGUCGUGAAGAGGGAAACAACCCAGACCGCCAGCUAAGGUCCCAAAGUCAUGGUUAAGUGGGAAACGAUGUGGGAAGGCCCAGACAGCCAGGAUGUUGGCUUAGAAGCAGCCAUCAUUUAAAGAAAGCGUAAUAGCUCACUGGUCGAGUCGGCCUGCGCGGAAGAUGUAACGGGGCUAAACCAUGCACCGAAGCUGCGGCAGCGACGCUUAUGCGUUGUUGGGUAGGGGAGCGUUCUGUAAGCCUGUGAAGGUGUACUGUGAGGUAUGCUGGAGGUAUCAGAAGUGCGAAUGCUGACAUAAGUAACGAUAAAGCGGGUGAAAAGCCCGCUCGCCGGAAGACCAAGGGUUCCUGUCCAACGUUAAUCGGGGCAGGGUGAGUCGACCCCUAAGGCGAGGCCGAAAGGCGUAGUCGAUGGGAAACAGGUUAAUAUUCCUGUACUUGGUGUUACUGCGAAGGGGGGACGGAGAAGGCUAUGUUGGCCGGGCGACGGUUGUCCCGGUUUAAGCGUGUAGGCUGGUUUUCCAGGCAAAUCCGGAAAAUCAAGGCUGAGGCGUGAUGACGAGGCACUACGGUGCUGAAGCAACAAAUGCCCUGCUUCCAGGAAAAGCCUCUAAGCAUCAGGUAACAUCAAAUCGUACCCCAAACCGACACAGGUGGUCAGGUAGAGAAUACCAAGGCGCUUGAGAGAACUCGGGUGAAGGAACUAGGCAAAAUGGUGCCGUAACUUCGGGAGAAGGCACGCUGAUAUGUAGGUGAAGUCCCUCGCGGAUGGAGCUGAAAUCAGUCGAAGAUACCAGCUGGCUGCAACUGUUUAUUAAAAACACAGCACUGUGCAAACACGAAAGUGGACGUAUACGGUGUGACGCCUGCCCGGUGCCGGAAGGUUAAUUGAUGGGGUCAGCGCAAGCGAAGCUCUUGAUCGAAGCCCCGGUAAACGGCGGCCGUAACUAUAACGGUCCUAAGGUAGCGAAAUUCCUUGUCGGGUAAGUUCCGACCUGCACGAAUGGCGUAAUGAUGGCCAGGCUGUCUCCACCCGAGACUCAGUGAAAUUGAACUCGCUGUGAAGAUGCAGUGUACCCGCGGCAAGACGGAAAGACCCCGUGAACCUUUACUAUAGCUUGACACUGAACAUUGAGCCUUGAUGUGUAGGAUAGGUGGGAGGCUUGGAAGUGUGGACGCCAGUCUGCAUGGAGCCGACCUUGAAAUACCACCCUUUAAUGUUUGAUGUUCUAACGUUGACCCGUAAUCCGGGUUGCGGACAGUGUCUGGUGGGUAGUUUGACUGGGGCGGUCUCCUCCUAAAGAGUAACGGAGGAGCACGAAGGUUGGCUAAUCCUGGUCGGACAUCAGGAGGUUAGUGCAAUGGCAUAAGCCAGCUUGACUGCGAGCGUGACGGCGCGAGCAGGUGCGAAAGCAGGUCAUAGUGAUCCGGUGGUUCUGAAUGGAAGGGCCAUCGCUCAACGGAUAAAAGGUACUCCGGGGAUAACAGGCUGAUACCGCCCAAGAGUUCAUAUCGACGGCGGUGUUUGGCACCUCGAUGUCGGCUCAUCACAUCCUGGGGCUGAAGUAGGUCCCAAGGGUAUGGCUGUUCGCCAUUUAAAGUGGUACGCGAGCUGGGUUUAGAACGUCGUGAGACAGUUCGGUCCCUAUCUGCCGUGGGCGCUGGAGAACUGAGGGGGGCUGCUCCUAGUACGAGAGGACCGGAGUGGACGCAUCACUGGUGUUCGGGUUGUCAUGCCAAUGGCACUGCCCGGUAGCUAAAUGCGGAAGAGAUAAGUGCUGAAAGCAUCUAAGCACGAAACUUGCCCCGAGAUGAGUUCUCCCUGACUCCUUGAGAGUCCUGAAGGAACGUUGAAGACGACGACGUUGAUAGGCCGGGUGUGUAAGCGCAGCGAUGCGUUGAGCUAACCGGUACUAAUGAACCGUGAGGCUUAACCUUACAACGCCGAAGGUGUUU
RNAcentral lists this ribosomal RNA (2933 nucleotides) under Escherichia coli O128:H2 str. 2011C-3317. RNAcentral describes it as "bacterial LSU rRNA". It matches the Rfam family "Bacterial large subunit ribosomal RNA". Lineage: Bacteria; Pseudomonadati; Pseudomonadota; Gammaproteobacteria; Enterobacterales; Enterobacteriaceae. The record is from RNAcentral.